AUGCUACAACCGGCACCUUUUUUUGCUACCAUCGGCAAACGGCUGAGUUGUGACGGCAGAGGUAGCGCCCUAUUUAUUUGCAUCAACCAGCGAGAACGACAGAUACUUUCAUCGGCGGCGUGGGCCUUUUUUUUGCUGCAACCGGCACGACAACGAGCUAUGCGGACGUUUCUGCGUGCGGUGACGAGGAGGACGGUACCAGCGGCGGCACGAUCCGGCAGCGACAGCGAGGGCGGCGACCAACGGCGAGGGCGGCGACCGGUGGUGAGGGAAGACGAGGAGGCGAGGCGGUCGGCGCGUGCGGGGGCGGCGCUCUCUUACCUCUCCUUUUUCCUCGUGCAGGAGGUUGAAGAUGAGGGAAGGACGGGGACAGUUCCAGAUCUGAUGGUUGUGCUUGUGCUAAUCAAACGGCCACGGGCUGACCGGCCGAAAAGUUAG
RNAcentral lists this ribosomal RNA (438 nucleotides) under Triticum aestivum (bread wheat). RNAcentral describes it as "partial small subunit ribosomal RNA". The record is from RNAcentral. Lineage: Eukaryota; Viridiplantae; Streptophyta; Magnoliopsida; Poales; Poaceae.